This 37-nucleotide transfer RNA is filed under the name Codonopsis clematidea. RNAcentral's name for it is "partial tRNA-Leu". Lineage: Eukaryota; Viridiplantae; Streptophyta; Magnoliopsida; Asterales; Campanulaceae. The record is from RNAcentral.
AUCCGUCGAUUUUUGAAAUCGUGAGGGUUCAAGUCCC